GACGAACGCUGGCGGCGUGCCUAAUACAUGCAAGUAGAACGCACAGUUUAUACCGUAGCUUGCUACACCAUAAACUGUGAGUUGCGAACGGGUGAGUAACGCGUAGGUAACCUGCCUGGUAGCGGGGGAUAACUAUUGGAAACGAUAGCUAAUACCGCAUAAUAUUAAUUAUUGCAUGAUAAUUGAUUGAAAGAUGCAAUUGCAUCACUACCAGAUGGACCUGCGUUGUAUUAGCUAGUAGGUGAGGUAACGGCUCACCUAGGCGACGAUACAUAGCCGACCUGGGGAGGUGAUCGGCCACACUGGGAAUGAGGCACGGCCCAAGCUCCUACGGGGAGCAGCAGUAAGGGAUCUUCGGCAAUGGACGGAAGUCUGACCGGACAAAGGCGCGUGGGGGAAGGAGGGUUUCGGAUCGGAAAGCUCUGGUGUUAGAGAAGAACGGGUGGGGUAGUGAAAAGUGCACGCUGUGACGGUAUCUUACCAGAAAGGGACGGCUAACUACGUG
This 505-nucleotide ribosomal RNA is filed under the name uncultured bacterium. RNAcentral's name for it is "partial 16S ribosomal RNA". It matches the Rfam family "Bacterial small subunit ribosomal RNA", at positions 28 to 507 of the family's 1533-position model. The record is from RNAcentral.